This is a long non-coding RNA of Polypterus senegalus (gray bichir), 415 nucleotides long. RefSeq lists it as uncharacterized. The record is from RefSeq and is a predicted model, not a curated record. Lineage: Eukaryota; Metazoa; Chordata; Cladistia; Polypteriformes; Polypteridae. The transcript has 3 exons.
CAGAGAAACAACAGCUGCAGCCGACGGCCUGAGUCUGGUAUUCUGCAACUGAAGCACAUUUCAUUAACAGAAUGAAGAUCCUGGCCCUGCUUUGGCUUUUUGGGAUCUGCCUUGCUGAUGUAUGCGAAAGGCCUUCCAAUGGCACCAAUAUUGCUAGACAAGGCAUUGCAGAGCAGUCUACUAGUAGUUUACACAAUGGAGCUGCAAACCUGGCAAUAGAUGGGAAAACAAACGGCAUUUAUUUUAAAGGAACCUGCACCCAUACUCAAAGUGACUCUCCAUCCUGGUGGAAAGUGAAUCUGAAGGCCACCUACGCCAUCUCUGUGGUGGUGGUCUACAAUAGACAGGACUGCUGUGACUCGAGGUUGAAGGGGGCUGAAGUUCGUGUCGGAGACUCACCCGAUAUCUCAAAGCA